Molecule: long non-coding RNA, 643 nt
Organism: Bufo bufo (common toad)
Lineage: Eukaryota; Metazoa; Chordata; Amphibia; Anura; Bufonidae
Exons: 4
Source: RefSeq, a predicted model, not a curated record
AAUAAAUCCUCCACAGCGCACAGAAUUAUUCCAUCAUACCAUGAAAAAUACAUAGAAUUCAAUCAAAAGAAAUGAUGAAAGGCGUCCACAGCCUUACUGAUUCCCAUCCCCAGUAAUCCUGACAGACAAUGGCGGUGACUGUACACAUACCUCCACCUGCACCGCUGGACACUACAUGUAUGGGGGAAGGGGAGACUAGUGGGCUAGAGGACCUUUCAUGAUGUCAUAACCAUUUGACCAUGUGUGGAAGGAGUCCUCCAGACUAUGCUGUUGGAGGAGGAUCUGCUCGGUGGAGAUCUUCUAUAUAAGAUCCUUUUCCUGAUUGACCCAUCAAGGAUGGACAGGGACAAGAUGGCGGAGUGUAUAAUAAAUCUCACCCAAGAGAUCCUCUUCCGGCUUACUGGAGAGGACUACACAGUGGUGAAGAAGACUUAUUUUGGGAGUUGUCAGGCCCCCGUGUCUGAAGGAUGGUGAAAAACCCUGAGCCCGAUCAUGGGGCCUCCACCCCACCCCCUGAAACAUGAGGAAAUCAAUAGAGAGAAGAUCCUAGAACUCACCAACAAGAUGAUUGAGCUGCUGACUGGAGAGGUUCCUAUAAGGUGUCAGGAUGUCACCAUCUAUUUCUCCAUGGAGGAGUGGGAGU